This 477-nucleotide ribosomal RNA is filed under the name uncultured bacterium. Its description in RNAcentral is "partial 16S ribosomal RNA". It matches the Rfam family "Bacterial small subunit ribosomal RNA", at positions 28 to 523 of the family's 1533-position model. The record is from RNAcentral.
AGCGAACGCUGGCGGCGUGCUUAACACAUGCAAGUCGAACGGUAAGGCCCUUCGGGGUACACGAGUGGCGAACGGGUGAGUAACACGUGGGUGAUCUGCCCUGCACUUCGGGAUAAGCCUGGGAAACUGGGUCUAAUACCGGAUAGGACCACUGCCUGCAUGGGUGGUGGUGGAAAGCUUUUGCGGUGUGGGGUGGGCCCGCGGCCUAUCAGCUUGUUGGUGGGGUGAUGGCCUACCAAGGCGACGACGGGUAGCCGGCCUGGGAGGGUGAACGGCCACACUGGGACUGAGAUACGGCCCAGACUCCUACGGGAGGCAGCAGUGGGGAAGAUUGCACAAUGGGCGCAAGCCUGAUGCAGCGACGCCGCGUGAGGGAUGACGGCCUUCGGGUUGUAACCUCUUUCAGCACCGACGAAGCGCAAGUGACGGUAGGUGCAGAAGAAGGACCGGCCAACUACGUGCCAGCCGCCGCAGUAA